UACGUAGGUGGCAAGCGUUGUCCGGAAUUACUGGGCGUAAAGGGCGCGUAGGCGGUCGCCUAAGUCGGACGUGAAAUCCCCAAGCUUAACUUGGGAACUGCGUCCGAUACUGGGUGACUUGAGUUCGGGAGAGGAAUGUGGAAUUCCAGGUGUAGCGGUGAAAUGCGUAGAUAUCUGGAGGAACACCGGUGGCGAAGGCGGCAUCCUGGACCGGCAUUGACGCUGAGGCGCGAAAGCCAGGGGAGCAAACGGG
This 253-nucleotide ribosomal RNA is filed under the name uncultured bacterium. RNAcentral describes it as "partial 16S ribosomal RNA". It matches the Rfam family "Bacterial small subunit ribosomal RNA", at positions 524 to 776 of the family's 1533-position model. The record is from RNAcentral.